This 73-nucleotide transfer RNA is filed under the name Trichosporon asahii var. asahii CBS 8904. Its description in RNAcentral is "tRNA-Cys (GCA) (tRNA-Cys-GCA-1-1, tRNA-Cys-GCA-1-2, tRNA-Cys-GCA-3 1 to 3)". It matches the Rfam family "tRNA". From Rfam's summary of the family: Transfer RNA (tRNA) molecules are approximately 80 nucleotides in length. Their secondary structure includes four short double-helical elements and three loops (D, anti-codon, and T loops). Further hydrogen bonds mediate the characteristic L-shaped molecular structure. tRNAs have two regions of fundamental functional importance: the anti-codon, which is responsible for specific mRNA codon recognition, and the 3' end, to which the tRNAs corresponding amino acid is attached (by aminoacyl-tRNA synthetases). tRNAs cope with the degeneracy of the genetic code in two manners: having more than one tRNA (with a specific anti-codon) for a particular amino acid; and 'wobble' base-pairing, i.e. permitting non-standard base-pairing at the 3rd anti-codon position. Lineage: Eukaryota; Fungi; Basidiomycota; Tremellomycetes; Trichosporonales; Trichosporonaceae. The record is from RNAcentral.
GAGGAUGUGGCUCAGCGGUAGAAGCGGCGGAUUGCAAAUCCGUAGGUCCCCGGUUCGAUCCCGGGCAUUCUCU